AGAGAGCUGGCUGAGCGGUCUAAGCAGCGGCAUCAUAAGCCGCCCUAGGCGGGUUCGACUCCCGCGCUCUCUACCA
RNAcentral lists this transfer RNA (76 nucleotides) under compost metagenome. Its description in RNAcentral is "tRNA-Met". It matches the Rfam family "tRNA". From Rfam's summary of the family: Transfer RNA (tRNA) molecules are approximately 80 nucleotides in length. Their secondary structure includes four short double-helical elements and three loops (D, anti-codon, and T loops). Further hydrogen bonds mediate the characteristic L-shaped molecular structure. tRNAs have two regions of fundamental functional importance: the anti-codon, which is responsible for specific mRNA codon recognition, and the 3' end, to which the tRNAs corresponding amino acid is attached (by aminoacyl-tRNA synthetases). tRNAs cope with the degeneracy of the genetic code in two manners: having more than one tRNA (with a specific anti-codon) for a particular amino acid; and 'wobble' base-pairing, i.e. permitting non-standard base-pairing at the 3rd anti-codon position. The record is from RNAcentral.